RNAcentral lists this ribosomal RNA (543 nucleotides) under uncultured bacterium. RNAcentral's name for it is "bacterial LSU rRNA". It matches the Rfam family "Bacterial large subunit ribosomal RNA", at positions 655 to 1195 of the family's 2925-position model. The record is from RNAcentral.
GAAUAGGGGAGGCGUAGGGAAACCGAGUCUGAUAAGGGCGCCUAGUUGCUGGACGUAGACCGAAACCAAGUGAUCUAUCCAUGGCCAGGAUGAAGGUGCGGUAACACGCACUGGAGGUCCGAACCCACUAAAUUUGAAAAAUUAGGGGAUGAGCUGUGGAUAGGGGUGAAAGGCUAAACAAACUUGGAAAUAGCUGGUUCUCUCCGAAAAACUAUUUAGGUAGUGCCUCAAGUAUCACCGACGGGGGUAAAGCACUGUUAUGGCUAGGGGGGUCAUCGCGACUUACCAAACCAUUGCAAACUCAGAAUACCGUUGAGUGCGAGCUUGGGAGACAGACAUCGGGUGCUAACGUCCGGUGUCAAGAGGGAAACAACCCAGACCGCCGAUUAAGGUCCCGAAGACAUAGUUAAGUGGGAAACGAGGUGGGAAGGCUUAGACAGCCAGGAGGUUGGCUUAGAAGCAGCCAUCCUUUAAAGAAAGCGUAAUAGCUCACUGGUCGAGUCGUCCUGCGCGGAAGAUGUAACGGGGCUCAAACUAUGCACC